GGGGACAACCCGCCGAAAGGCGGGCUAAGCCCGCGUAUAUCUCCCCGGGGCAUCCCGGGGGGAGGAAAGGAGCGAUCCGGACAGGGAUGGGCAUGCGGCGCAUUAGCUGGUCGGCGGGGUAACGGCCCACCGAGGCGACGAUGCGUAGGGGUUCUGAGAGGAAGGCCCCCCACACUGGUACUGAGACACGGACCAGACUCCUACGGGAGGCAGCAGUGAGGAAUAUUGGUCAAUGGGCGGGAGCCUGAACCAGCCAAGCCGCGUGAGGGAAGAAGGUACAGCGUAUCGUAAACCUCUUUUGUCAGGGAACAAAGGCGGGGACUAGUCCCCGGAUGAGGGUACCUGAAGAAAAAGCAUCGGCUAACUCCGUGCCAGCAGCCGCGGUAAUACGGAGGAUGCGAGCGUUAUCCGGAUUUAUUGGGUUUAAAGGGUGCGCAGGCGGCCCGUUAAGUCAGCGGUAAAAGCCCGGGGCUCAACCCCGGCGAGCCGUUGAAACUGGCGGGCUGGAGUUGGAGAGAGGUACGCGGAAUGCGCGGUGUAGCGGUGAAAUGCUUAGAUAUCGCGCAGAACCCCGAUUGCGAAGGCAGCGUACCGGCUCCACACUGACGCUGAGGCACGAAAGCGUGGGUAUCGAACAGGAUUAGAUACCCUGGUAGUCCACGCAGUAAACG
This 671-nucleotide ribosomal RNA is filed under the name uncultured bacterium. RNAcentral's name for it is "bacterial SSU rRNA". It matches the Rfam family "Bacterial small subunit ribosomal RNA", at positions 139 to 808 of the family's 1533-position model. The record is from RNAcentral.